CAUGAAGUAAGUGGGUUCGUGGGGGUGAUUGCCUGUGGCUGGGACCUGGGAGUUACCUGAGAGAAUUGGGGUUAUUUGGGCUUGUGGGGAGGGGCUAAGAAAUGAUCAGAAAAGACAGGAAUUCUUAAAAAUGUGGAAUGGGAGCAGGCUUGAGUCAUGGACCUGCCCGAGCCUCCCCCAGUUUGUGGCCCUGAUAGGUGCCCUCCUUGCCAUCUGCUGCAUGAUCUUCCUGGGCUUUGCGGAUGAUGUACUGAAUCUGCGCUGGCGCCAUAAGCUGCUGCUACCCACAGCUGCCUCACUACCUCUCCUCAUGGUCUAUUUCACCAACUUUGGCAACACGACCAUUGUGGUGCCCAAGCCCUUCCGCCCGAUACUUGGCCUGCAUCUGGACUUGGGAAUCCUGUACUAUGUCUACAUGGGGCUGCUGGCAGUGUUCUGUACCAAUGCCAUCAAUAUCCUAGCAGGAAUUAACGGCCUAGAGGCUGGCCAGUCACUAGUCAUUUCUGCUUCCAUCAUUGUCUUCAACCUGGUAGAGUUGGAAGGUGAUUGUCGGGAUGAUCAUGUCUUUUCCCUCUACUUCAUGAUACCCUUUUUUUUCACCACUUUGGGAUUGCUCUACCACAACUGGUACCCAUCACGGGUGUUUGUGGGAGAUACCUUCUGUUACUUUGCUGGCAUGACCUUUGCCGUGGUGGGCAUCUUGGGACACUU
RNAcentral lists this small RNA (711 nucleotides) under Pongo abelii (Sumatran orangutan). RNAcentral describes it as "retained intron". The record is from RNAcentral. Lineage: Eukaryota; Metazoa; Chordata; Mammalia; Primates; Hominidae.